RNAcentral lists this ribosomal RNA (497 nucleotides) under uncultured bacterium. RNAcentral's name for it is "partial 16S ribosomal RNA". It matches the Rfam family "Bacterial small subunit ribosomal RNA", at positions 28 to 507 of the family's 1533-position model. The record is from RNAcentral.
GAUGAACGCUGGCGGCGUGCCUAAUACAUGCAAGUCGAGCGAACGGACGAGAAGCUUGCUUCUCUGAUGUUAGCGGCGGACGGGUGAGUAACACGUGGAUAACCUACCUAUAAGACUGGGAUAACUUCGGGAAACCGUAGCUAAUACCGGAUAAUAUUUUGAACCGCAUGGUUCAAAAGUGAAAGACGGUCUUGCUGUCACUUAUAGAUGGAUCCGCGCUGCAUUAGCUAGUUGGUAAGGUAACGGCUUACCAAGGCAACGAUGCAUAGCCGACCUGAGAGGGUGAUAGGCCACACUGGAACUGAGACACGGUCCAGACGACUACGGGAGGCAGCAGUAGGGAAUCUUCAGCAAUGGGCGAAAGCCUGACGGAGCAACGCCGCGUGAGUGAUGAAGGUCUUCGGAUCGUAAAACUCUGUUAUUAGGGAAGAACAUAUGUGUAAGUAACUGUGCACAUCUUGACGGUACCUAAUCAGAAAGCCACGGCUAACUACGUG